AGUCCACGCUGUAAACGAUGUCGAUUUGGAGGUUGUGCCCUUGAGGCGUGGCUUCCGGAGCUAACGCGUUAAAUCGACCGCCUGGGGAGUACGGCCGCAAGGUUAAAACUCAAAUGAAUUGACGGGGGCCCGCACAAGCGGUGGAGCAUGUGGUUUAAUUCGAUGCAACGCGAAGAACCUUACCUACUCUUGACAUCCAGAGAACUUUCCAGAGAUGGAUUGGUGCCUUCGGGAACUCUGAGACAGGUGCUGCAUGGCUGUCGUCAGCUCGUGUUGUGAAAUGUUGGGUUAAGUCCCGCAACGAGCGCAACCCUUAUCCUUUGUUGCCAGCGGUUCGGCCGGGAACUCAAAGGAGACUGCCAGUGAUAAACUGGAGGAAGGUGGGGAUGACGUCAAGUCAUCAUGGCCCUUACGAGUAGGGCUACACACGUGCUACAAUGGCAUAUACAAAGAGAAGCGACCUCGCGAGAGCGAGCGGACCUCAUAAAGUAUGUCGUAGUCCGGAUUGGAGUCUGCAACUCGACUCCAUGAAGUCGGAAUCGCUAGUAAUCGUAGAUCAGAAUGCUACGGUGAAUACGUUCCCGGGCCUUGUACACACCGCCCGUCACACCAUGGGAGUGGGUUGCAAAAGAAGUAGGUAGCUUAACCUUCGGGAGGGCGCUUACCACUUUGUGAUUCAUGACUGGGGGUGAAGUCGUAACAAGGUACCAAGGGCGAA
This 718-nucleotide ribosomal RNA is filed under the name uncultured Serratia sp. RNAcentral's name for it is "bacterial SSU rRNA". It matches the Rfam family "Bacterial small subunit ribosomal RNA", at positions 792 to 1509 of the family's 1533-position model. Lineage: Bacteria; Pseudomonadati; Pseudomonadota; Gammaproteobacteria; Enterobacterales; Yersiniaceae. The record is from RNAcentral.